Molecule: long non-coding RNA, 8493 nt
Filed under: Solanum tuberosum (potato)
Lineage: Eukaryota; Viridiplantae; Streptophyta; Magnoliopsida; Solanales; Solanaceae
Description: long non-coding RNA (STUB_LNC011915)
Source: RNAcentral
CCUACACAGCUUAGGGUAAUGAAUUACGAGAUCUCUGAUGCUCAUUAAGGCUAAAUGAUAAUCUGCAAAUAGCUCCCUUAGCUUUCCUGGCAGUCCAUUAAAUUCUGACAGAAUUCAAGUGACGCCACUUGAUGCAAAUCACCAAUGAUUUCUGGAAGCUUUUCUAGUCUUUUGCACCCUCUGGGCUCUGAGUAAAAGACGUUGCAGAUUCAUCAAAUUACAGAGGCUGUCUGGUAGACUUACAAGAUCUUCACAACCUGUCAGAUUUAGCUCAGUGAGGCCGCUCAUAUUUCUAGUGAACGAAGGCAUUUCUCUUAUCCCAGUAGAAUUCAGAGUCAGUUGUAUCAAGCAAUGCAUAUCUCCGUUGAUUUCUGGAAAUGCAUUAUAGAGAUGACUCACAAAGGUUCUACGUGUAUCUUUGUGACAUAACUUGACCCUUAGACCAAAAAAGGAAAAGAAAAAACUAGAAGUCAUUAUAUUUUUGCUGAUUUUAUUGUAAAGACUAGACUUUACCUUUUUUCAUUAUUCCAAGCCUCUGUAGAAAACUUGUUAUCAUCUUUCUAAUUCAUGACAUAUCAUUGUACCCUUUUGCAGUAUUGCAGUGACAAAUUAAACAAAUGAGUAGCAAAUUGGGGACAAAUAUAAGUUUUCCCCAUUUUAACUUAAUCAUACCUUCCUGUAAAUGAUAUAAAUUUGUUGCCCUACCUGAGGAAUUGUCCAGAAAUUGAAGAAAAAUUUCAUAAUAAUUUAGAAGAAAAAGCAGAAAAGAAUGACUGACCUGAGAGAACCACACCAAAAGCUAACUAUUGAGGUAUAUAAGAGCCUGUUUGGAUUCAGAAUAGUUUUAAAGUGUUUAUGUAAAUUUAAAAAGAAAUAGGCUUCAAUCAGCUUAUUGAGCUACAGAAGUUUUCUCAACUCACAAUGGAGCAUCCAGUUUUUAUAUUUACAUUAUAUAUACAAAUUCUAUGGAACAAUAUCACCGUAUACUUGAGAGUCAAUUAGCAGCAAACACAUCAUAAACAGAAAUACUACUUCUACUUUUUAUGGCUAAACAGAUCUUAUAUAAGCCCAAUAUCAGCUUCACAAAUGACAUACUAAAAUCUCAUACCCCUUCCAAUAGGACUCAAUUAUUUUUAAUAGCAUUAAUUUUCAAAUUAAAAAUGUCUCUCCCAAUCCAAGUUACCUUUUACAUAUAAAGGGAUCUUAGGAAGAUGGUGUGUACGUAACUUUACCCUUACCUAGUUAAGGUAGAGAAGUUGUUUCCCACUCAAACACCAACAUUAUAAAUAAAAAUUUCAUCCAUCUAUCAUCGAUACAAAUUCCUGGUAUAUAAUUAAUUUUCAUUUGAGAAGGGUACAUACAAAUUGUACCAACAAUGUAGAACAUACACUUUCCAUACCAUUUUAUGAUACAUGUUUGGUUGAAUACAAAAUUUAAGAAAGACAGAAAAAUAUUUGAAAAUUGUGAUGUAAAACAAGUCAUAAACAGACCUUUGCAUCAUUUGGGUUCUUCCCUUCUUUAUUGUCAGAAGCAUACCACAAUGUUUCAAACGGUAUAUAGGCACAACAAAUGAAAGGAUACUCGAACCUCGAAUAUUCAGGGAUGUAGUUCUACUCCAAGGAAUAUUUUCUUUCAGGGUCAGACUUGCAGACCAAUGUAGCUUCUAAUCUUGCGUCCAGUCUAGUAGGACCGUAACUUAUCAAAAAACCCAUGAAUUUAUCAGUAUACCAAAAUGGGUUCAGCUUAAGACAACAAAUUACGAGAUUUUUGCUGCUCUUCAAAGUUAGAUGAUAAUCAGCAAAUAGCUCCCUUAAAUUUGGGGGUAGCUCUCCUGGCAGUUCAUUAAGAUUCUGACAGAAUUAUACGUUCAGAUGCUGAAGGUGUAAGAGUCCUUUGAAGCUUUUUGGUAAACAAGAAAUAUUGCUUCCACUUACAUUCAAAUUUUCCAAAGAGUGCAAAGAUCCUAAAUCCUCAGGAAGUCCACUCAAUAUGUUGUGAUUAUUAAGAUCAUGUGAUGUCAAGGAGGAUAAACCUGAUACUUGAUUCAAGACAAAACUUGAGGAAUGUUGAAAUUGUUGUUCAUGUGAGAAUCGUAACUUCCACAGUUUGCCAAGCUUAGUGAUGGAGGGAGGUGGUUGGGAGAUUGCAGUUUCGCUCGCAUCAAGUAUAUGUAAAUCUUGCAAAUCACCAAUGUUUUCUGGAAGCUUCUCUAGCUUGUUGCACCCGUCGAGGUAAAGACAUCGAAGUUUCAUCAAAUUGCAGAUAUUCGAGGUCUCCUAGAUGCCCAAUGGAUGAAGGCACUUCUCUUAUCCCAGUAGAAUUCAGAGUCAGCUGUGUCAAGUAAUGCAUAUCUCCAUUGAUUUCUGGAAAUGUAUCUAAUUUUGGGGAAUUAGAUAUCUUGAGCUUUUGAAGGGAUUUCAUCUGAAUCGAGCUUGGAAGCUUCUUUAAGUUCUCACAUCCAUCUAUCUCUAACAAACGGAGCUUCUUUUGAACUCCAAGAGAUAUGGGGAGCUUUACCAAUCCAGAACAUCGGUAUAUACCAAGACAUCCCAAUUGCUGUGAUUCAAAGAGGUUGUUUGGCAGUGUUGCAAAUUUAUUGAAACCUGAAAUACUGAGAUCUCUAAGAUUUUGAAUGGCGUCCAGAAUACUCUCAAGAACUUCACACUCAGUCAAUUGCAAAUUUCUAAGGCUGCUGAAAGAUGGAGGUAAGCUUCUUAUCCACGGGUAUUUUACAUAGAGUAUUGAUAAGCGCGGCAUAUCUCCACAGAUUUCUGGAAAUUCUUCUAAGCUUGUGCAUUCAAGGAGAUUGAGAGUCUCAAGAGAUCCCACGCAGACAAAUUUUGGAAUCUUCUUAAGUUUGCGAUAACCUUCCAAACUCAAAUAAGUAAGCAGUCUGCAAUGUCCAAAUGAGGAAUGGACCUCUUCCAAAUUCACACACCGUGUAAAUUUAGUGUCUCUAAGUUUGGCAUAUCACCAAAAUUAGGGGUUUUUCUUAACUCACAGCUGUCCAUGAGAUCCAAAUGCUUCAAGUUGCUCAAUUUCUGUUUCCAAAAAAAAAAAAGAACAGUGAGCUUAACUAGUACUCCUAAUAGAAAUAUUUUGUAGGAAAAAAAAAUAAAGAGAAGAUAAGGUUGUUAUGAUCAUUAAAGGCGGUAGCCAAUCUGGAAAAGAACUUUUGAGAUACAUAAUUGUCUUAAAAUCCAAAUAUAUAUUUCUUUUCUUUUAAUUUCAUAAUGAAAAUAAAACCUCUUUAAACCUAGAAAUAAUUCCUUCUCAUCUUUGUCCAGACAAUCAAAACUAAGCCUAAGCUUUCCUAAAAUAUCCUUGUGAGGGAUUCUCUUCAGCCGAUCAAUUAUGUGUCUCCAGUGCUUUUUGUCUCGUCCGUAAAAUGAAGAACCCAAAACUUUAAGAGCUAAAGGGAGUCCACCAGCAUGGUGCACCACUUGUCUUGAAAGUUCCAUAAAAUCUUCUUUUGGUGAUUUUUCUCUAAAAGCAUGACUACUGAACAAUUCAAGUGCUUCAUCCUCCGAUAAUAGUUGGACUUCAUACACGUUAUCCCCAACGUGACUGAUUAACAGGUGCUUGUCUCUUGCCGUUAAAAUAAUUCUGCUACCCCUACCAAACCACUCUGUCCCUCCAACUAAAAAUUCCCACUGUUCUUGAUGGUUUACAUCAUCAAGGAUGAACAGAACUUUCUUCCAGCGAAGCAUAUUCUUUUAAAUAUUCAUCCCUUCAUGCUCACUAGUUAGAGUCAAUUUUUCACCCAAGAGCUUGCAAAUGACAACUUGUUGUAGCCAUGUUAGUCCAUUUUUCUGAUGAAGUUUUCCAACAUCACCAAGAAAACAAUCAGCUUCACAUCGAUGGCGGUAUCUUUGAUGUAGAAUAUUUGCAAUUUCUGUCUUGCCGAUGCCGCCCAUACCCCAAAUGCCGAUGGAGCAAACAUCAUUUGAUUCCAUAUCUAAUAAUGAGGUUACUUUCUCAACCUGAGAUUUUUUACCCACUAAACUUUCCAGGAAAGGUGAAAUAAUUUGAAGUGACUUGGGAAAUAUGACAUCAACUAACUUCUUGAUGCACUCAGCCUCAUCCCUACAUUACAGUGAAAAUACUCUCAGAGUAAAUAAAUAGAAAAGGAAAGACUUGUCAUAGAUUAAUAUCUAAAGCAAACACAUAAUAAUGUCACAAAGGUUGUUCCCCCGCUCUCCCCCCCCCCCCUGGUGUCAUAAGGUAGCUUAAAUCAACUAUUAUGAAUUAUAACAUUUUAAAAUCUAAUUACAUCAUCAAACAACCAGAUAGCUAAAAGUUUGGUCCUUUUUCCUCUUGAUAAAGAGAAACCCGAAGAAAAGAAGAAGAUCACUUACUUGAAAUUUUGUAAAUGAUACCCCGAUAUUUUCCCAGCCUCCGCAAAUGCACCCGUCCAUCUCUGAACCUUCUCCAUAUCAUCUUUGCAUUUUUCCUCAUGUUGUAAAAAUGAAUCAGCAAAAGGGGGAUGUUGAUGGCACACAUCUGAUUGACUCACAUCAUAGAAGACUGGAAUCACAAUCUGCUCCAAUUCCUUUUUACACUUUAUGAUGUGUGCAAGCUCCUCUAAACACCAUCUUGACGAUGCAUAGCUUUUUGAAAAUAUCACUAUAGCAAAUUUAGACUCUUGUAUGGCUUUCAAAAGUUCAUCAGAAAUUGAUUUUCCCGUUUCUAGUCGCUCAUCAUCUUUAAAAGUGCGGAUCCCUCUUUGUUCCAAAGCAUUAUAGAGAUGACUCACAAAGUUUCUACAUGUAUCUUCACCUCUAAAACUCAAAAAGACAUCGUACUUGCAAAUUUUGGAAGAAGAAGCAUGAGACAUUGUUGAAGGAUAUAAGACUAACAGGUAACUUCUCAGCCCAACUAGCAACAUUAUUUCUCAGCUAUGUGAAUGCAUAAUUUGGUCAAAAAGAGUGAAACAGUUGAGUUGACCAACCUGGUCAAAAAGAAAGAAAAGACAGACAAAUUUCCAGUUUAAUAAUAAAGAACAAGACUUCACCAUUUUCACUAUUCCUAGUCUUUAUGAGGAACUUGUUAUCAUCUUCCUAUUUCAACUUAUAAAAUGUUAACUUUUUCAUUACUGUGAGAAAUUAAAGAGUAUAAAAACAGACAAGAAGACUUACACCAAAAAAGGCAAAGAAAAAACUAAAGUCAUUACAUUUUUACUGAUAUUAUUGUAAAGACUUUACCUUUUUCAUUAUUCCAAACCUCUGUAGGAAACUUGUUAUCAUCUUCCUAAUUCAUGACAUAUAAUUGUACUCUUUUUCAGUAUUGCACUGACAAAUUAAACUAAUGAGCACCAAAUUGGGGCACAAAUUUAAAUCUUAACUUAAUCAUACCUUUCGGAAAAUUGAUAUAAAUUCGUCGCCCUAACUGAGAAAUUGCCCAGAAAUUGAAGAAAAAAAUCGUAAUAAUUUAGAAAAAAACACACAAAAAGCAGAAAAGAAAACUGACCACAUCAAAGAUAUAAGCAGAAAAGAAGAGAACCGCACUCUUAACUAUUGAGGUUUAUAAGAGCUUAUUUGGUCAGAUAUAUCAUUUUUAGGUUUAUCUUUAUCAAGAGGAAAAUGGAAUAAAGAUUCUUGACAAGCUGACGGAGUAUGUCGGAUUUUAGCGUUUUCUUUAAUAGUGUUUAUUAGCAAUAAACAAGCUUUUUUUUUUACUCGUAUUGAAGAUGCGUUUUUUUCUAAAAUGAUCCGUAUUGAGUUAAAUUAAAAAUUAGAAAGCAAGUAUUUGUGUUAAAUCAAGAUAGCCGGGAUGAUAUGAAAAAAACAAAAAUACAUGAUAUUAUUUAAUUUAAUUGAAUGUUUAAACAAGAAAAUUGAAGCACUUCCGUCAGUUAUUAUUCAUGCAAAAAUACAUUAAAAAAAAUCUCAAAAAAAAAUCAAUGUUCAUACAUUAAUUUUUAUUUUUUUUAAAAGGAAAACUAACGAACACAAGUUAUAUGGACAAACACCAACUAAAAAUCGCAUACCCUUUCCCAUAGGCAGUGGCGGAGGCAGGAUUUCCAUCGAGGGGGUUCAAAAAGAUAAGUAAGCACACUAUUAGUAUCCAUAUAAGCGGGGCGGGUCAAAUAUAAAUGGGUCGGAUCAGAUAUAAGCAACUAAAAAAAAUUCAACUCUACCUCAACACAAACAAUAAAAUCGAGUAAUCAUAUGUUUGACGAGAUUUGUAUUUUUUAAAACUAUAAUUAUGGGUCUUGUCUCUGUCAUUGUUGUAUACAAACGUUAUUUAAUUUUUGAAACUAACUAAGGAAUACUUCUAAAUCCGAUCAUACUGUAGCAAUAAAAUUUGCGUCGAUAAAAUAAUUAUCAAGGUUGAAAAAUAUCGCGACAAUUGUAUUUAUUUAUAAAUUUUAAAUGAUUACUCUUAUUUAUUUAAUCUUACUUAUAAUUAUAUUAAUUCUUAAUCAAAUAUAAAUUAAAUGUUUUCUUAAAAUGAGUAUGAAAGAAUGUAUUUUUAAUUUUAAUUAUGACAACAACGUUUAUAAGUUUUACUUAAUUUUAUAAAAAUGGAAAAUUAAAUUUAUUUUUUUAAUAUCUAAUAAAUAGUAUAAAUCUCAAUAGGUUUUCAAACAAAACAAAAAUUUUCAUUUAUUUAGAAAAUUAAAUGAAAAUCGGCUGAAAUAUGGGGGAAAAAAAUGCUGUUACAGGGAGUCGAACCUGCGACCCAGCACUUAUAUUGCGAAUUCUUGAACCCCCUUUACCACUAAACCAAGCCCUUAGCUUAUGUUCAGGGGUUCAUCACUUGGUAUAUACAUAUAAAUAAAAAAAUUGACCCUAUAUAUACCAUGUAAUUUUUCCAACGAAGGGGGUUCGGAUGAACCCCUUGGAUCCAUGUAGAUCCGCCCCUGCCCAUAGGACUCAAUUAUUUUUAAGAAGUAUUAAUUUUCAAAUUAAAAAUGUCUCUCCAAAUACAAAUAGCCUUUUACAUAUAAACAGACCUUUGCCUCACUCAUUGCUUCUUUUCUUUUUUCUAUGACCACUAUCAUCACUCAUUGCUUCCUCUUCAUACACCAGCCGAAUUCCCCAGCAUACUUCUUUCUCCAGCCCGUACAUGUGAGAAAACUCCAACAUGUAAUAAUCAUUUGGAUUCUUCCCUUCUUUAUUGCCAGAAGCAUUCCACAAUGUUUCAAAUGGUAUGUACCAGCAAUAAAUGAAAGGAUCAUUGGAAAAAGACCCACUCACCCCAUACUUCAAGGAAUAUUUUCUUUCAGGGUCAGAUUUGCAGACCAAUGUAGCUUCUAAUCUUAUGUACUUUGUAGUAGGACCGUAGGUUAUCCAAAAACCCAUGAAUUUAUUGGUAUACCAAGAUGGGUUCAGAUCAAUUGACAUCUUUUCUUGAUUUAUAAAUGGACAAUCAUAAUCGAACAACUCUGAAAUUCUGACUCUGGGAAAAGUAAUGAGAAAAUAAUCCCUUUGAUGGAAGUCACACUGCAUGCAAUAGAAUAGAGAUUAUUAUUACUACUACUAGAAAUCAAUUUGACGAGAAUAAUAUUCAACAUUCAUAUAUGAGAUAAAAACCUGGAUGCAUGUCCUGAGAAAAUGAUGUAGGAACACAUUAACUUGUUCACUUGAGACGGCUCCACAGUUGGAUAUUACGAGCCUACACAGCCUAAGACAAUUAAUUACGAGAUCUCUGAUGCUCUUCAAGGCUAAAUGAUAAUCUGCUAAUAGCUCCCUUAAAUUUGGGGGUAGCUCUCCUGGCAGUUCAUUAAGAUUCUGACAGAAGUGUAUGUUCAGACUCCGAAGGUGUAAGAGUCCUUUAAGGCUUUUUGGUAAACAAGAAAUAUUGCUUCCACUUAAACUCAAAUAUUUCAAAGUGUGCAAAGAUCCUAAAUCCUCAAAAAGUCCACUCAAGCCUAAAAUUAUCAGUUUCCCAAGCUUGGUGAUGGAGGGAGGUGGUUGGUAUAUUGCAGUUUCGCUCACAUCAAGCUUACAUAACUCUUGCAAAUCACCCAUGUUUUCUGGAAGCUUUUCUAGCUUUUUGCACCCGUUGAGUAAAAGAUAUUGAAGAUUCAUCAAAUUACAGAGGCUGUCUGGUAGACUUACAAGAUCUUCACAACGUUUCAGACAUAGCUCAGUGAGGCCGCUCAGAUUCCCAAUGGAUGAAGGCACUUCUCUUAUCCCAGUAGACUUCAGACUCAGUCGUGUCAAGCAAUGCAUAUCUCCGUUGAUUUCUGGAAAUGUAUCUAAUUUUGGGUAUUUAGAUAUCGAGAGAUCUAGAAGGGAUUCCAUCUGAAUAGAGCUUGGAAGCUUCUUUAAGUUCUCACAUCUCUCUAUUAUUAACAAACGGAGAUUCUUUUGAACUUCAAGAGAUAUGGGGAGCUUUACCAAUCCAGAACAUCCGUAUAUACAAAGAACUUUCAAUAGCUGUGAUUCGAAGAGGCUGUUUGGCAGUGUUGCAAGUUUAUUGCAACCUGAAAUUCUGAGAUCACUAAGAUUUCGAAUAGUGUCUGGAAUACAUUCAAGAAUUUCA